CCCUUGUCUCGUCAACUAGAACUAUGUCGUCCGCAAAUAGCAUACACCAUGGCAUCUCCCCUUGAAUAUGGUGUGUCAAAGCAUCCAUCACCAAGGCAAAUAAGAACGGGCUAAGCGCUGAGCCUUGGUGUAAUCCCAUAACAACCGGGAAAUGCUCCGAGUCGCCUUCCACCGUCCUAACCUUAGUCUUAGCUCCAUCAUACAUGUCCUUGAUCGCUCGUAUGUAGGCUAUCGGUACGCCCUUCGCCUCAAGACAUCUUCAAGGUAAUCCCAUAACAACCAGGAAAUGCUCCGAGUCGCCUCCCACCAUCCUAACCUUAGUCUUAGCUCCAUCAUACAUGUCCUUGAUCACUCGUAUGUAGGCUACCGGCACGGCCUUCGCCUCAAGGCAUCUCCAGAGCACCUCGCUAGGAACCUUAUCACACGCUUUCUCCAAGUCAAUAAACACCAUGUGUAGAUCCUUCUUUUUAUUCCUGUACUGUUCCACCAACCUCCUAAUAAGGUGGAUAGCUUCCGUAGUGGAGCGACCCGGCAUGAACCCAAACUGAUUGUCAGAUACAGACGUCGUCUUC
This 572-nucleotide long non-coding RNA is filed under the name Nicotiana benthamiana. RNAcentral describes it as "long non-coding RNA (NBEN_LNC012309)". The record is from RNAcentral. Lineage: Eukaryota; Viridiplantae; Streptophyta; Magnoliopsida; Solanales; Solanaceae.